RNAcentral lists this ribosomal RNA (420 nucleotides) under uncultured bacterium. RNAcentral describes it as "bacterial SSU rRNA". It matches the Rfam family "Bacterial small subunit ribosomal RNA", at positions 355 to 774 of the family's 1533-position model. The record is from RNAcentral.
UAAGGAAUAUUGCUCAAUGGGAGAAAUCCUGAAGCAGCAACGCCGCGUGGAGGAUGAAGGGUCUAUGACUUGUAAACUCCUGUAAAGAAGGAAAAAAUUCCCAUUAGAUGGGAGAUGAUGGUACUUCUGGAGUAAGCCCCGGCUAACUACGUGCCAGCAGCCGCGGUAAUAGGUAGGGGGCAAGCGUUGUCCGGAUUUACUGGGUGUAAAGGGUGCUCAGGCGGAUUUGUAAGUCAGAGGUGAAAUCUUACAGCUUAACUGUGAAACUGCCUUUGAUACUGCAAGCCUAGAGUAUGGAAGAGAGUGAUGGAAUAUCUGGUGUAGCAGUGAAAUGCGUAGAUAUCAGAUAGAACACCAAUGGCGAAGGCAGUCACUUGGUCCAUUACUGACGCUAAAGCACGAAAGCGUGGGUAGCAAACA